ACCACACCGGAAGUGUCCGACCGCACACUCACGGACACGGAUAAGAAAUCCAAAAUGGCGGCCACGUGCAACUAGCAUAGAGGCAACUAGGAGAUGCUCCACUGAUGAUUGACUGUGUUGCUACUGUUAUAUCUUUUUUGCAGAUCUCCUCCUUCAGUGAUGCUCCUCCUCCUCCAGUGAAACUCCUCCUCCAGUGAAGCUCCUCCCACUGCAGUUCACCAAUAAACGCUGGAAUAUUCCCCUCAGCUACAAGUGAAGACGAGCAUCAAACCAUCAGGAAGAGCCAACACAAACACAAAGUUUAUUGAAGGACAGUGAGAACAUGAGAUCCAGAACACUGCAGAAUGAAACAUACUGAAGAACAAAGAGGUUCCGAGUGCCUGACAACUGUGAGCUGAUAACGGGCUGCGCC
This is a non-coding RNA of Pimephales promelas (fathead minnow), 412 nucleotides long. The record is from RefSeq and is a predicted model, not a curated record. Lineage: Eukaryota; Metazoa; Chordata; Actinopteri; Cypriniformes; Leuciscidae.